GAUGAACGCUGGCGGCGUGCCUAACACAUGCAAGUCGAGCGAUUCUCUUCGGAGAAGAGCGGCGGACGGGUGAGUAACGCGUGGGUAACCUGCCCUGUACACACGGAUAACAUACCGAAAGGUAUGCUAAUACGAGAUAAUAUGCUUUUAUCGCAUGGUAGAAGUAUCAAAGCUUUUGCGGUACAGGAUGGACCCGCGUCUGAUUAGCUAGUUGGUAAGGUAACGGCUUACCAAGGCGACGAUCAGUAGCCGACCUGAGAGGGUGAUCGGCCACAUUGGAACUGAGACACGGUCCAAACUCCUACGGGAGGCAGCAGUGGGGAAUAUUGCACAAUGGGCGAAAGCCUGAUGCAGCAACGCCGCGUGAGCGAUGAAGGCCUUCGGUCGUAAAGCUCUGUCCUCAAGGAAGAUAAUGACGGUACUUGAGGAGGAAGCCCCGGCUAACUACGUGCCAGCAGCCGCGGUAAU
Molecule: ribosomal RNA, 468 nt
Filed under: uncultured bacterium
Lineage: Bacteria
Description: bacterial SSU rRNA
Rfam family: Bacterial small subunit ribosomal RNA
Source: RNAcentral